GCGGGUGUAACUCAGUGGUAGAGUGUUUGCUUCCCAAGCAAAAUGUCGAGGGUUCGAUCCCCUUCACCCGCUCCA
This 75-nucleotide transfer RNA is filed under the name Planctomycetaceae bacterium. RNAcentral's name for it is "tRNA-Gly". It matches the Rfam family "tRNA". Rfam says of the family: Transfer RNA (tRNA) molecules are approximately 80 nucleotides in length. Their secondary structure includes four short double-helical elements and three loops (D, anti-codon, and T loops). Further hydrogen bonds mediate the characteristic L-shaped molecular structure. tRNAs have two regions of fundamental functional importance: the anti-codon, which is responsible for specific mRNA codon recognition, and the 3' end, to which the tRNAs corresponding amino acid is attached (by aminoacyl-tRNA synthetases). tRNAs cope with the degeneracy of the genetic code in two manners: having more than one tRNA (with a specific anti-codon) for a particular amino acid; and 'wobble' base-pairing, i.e. permitting non-standard base-pairing at the 3rd anti-codon position. RNAcentral also lists the same sequence under 1 other name. Lineage: Bacteria; Pseudomonadati; Planctomycetota; Planctomycetia; Planctomycetales; Planctomycetaceae. The record is from RNAcentral.